AUUUGCUCAUUAGGAGCAGAAGCACAAGUUGAGAACGAUCACGAAUUCAGAAGAGCAUACUCCCUACAGUUGGCUAGAUUGACUUAAGGAAGCCAAACGCUUGAGUUCUCCUGAAGAUGUUGAAGCAUUUAAACUGAACAGUUUGGACAAGGAAUAUCUACUUUGGAAAAUAACUUAUGAGGCAGUAAGCAAUGCAUAGGAUUUUUCCACAACGAUUUGCAAUAUGGUAACAUAAUGCUUUAUGAAGAGUCUUCUGUUGUCACCAUUAUAGAUUGUGAAUAUGCAAGUUUCAAUCGUGUGGCAUAUGAUACAGCAAACCAAUUCAAUGAGAUGGCUGCCAAUUAUCACACAUACCCCACAUAUUCUCGACUUCACUAAAUACCGUGGGGAGCAAGCAGCCACAUUGACCAGUAACCACAAACCAGUUUAUUGAAGAUCUAAAAGAAGAUGAGGUUGUUGUUCAGGUGUGUUGAGACAACAACCCAGGUCCCAGCACAAGCUUCCUUCAGUACCUCUGAAUUUCUUCACAGGGCUGCCUGCAAAAACUGAUCGCAUGCUUUGAUUCAUAGAUACUGCACAAACUACAAAUGGACCUGCUUUGUUUUUAUUGUUUAGCACCAGAUUUUGUGGAUUUACAUUUUAUUAUGUCAUAGGAUUUUCUGUUUUUGAACUUUGUGUUAGUAAUCCUGGUUAAAUUUGUAAUUUUGUAGGUUAAACACAGGUGGAUAUCAGUA
Non-coding RNA from Vigna umbellata (rice bean), 734 nucleotides. The record is from RefSeq and is a predicted model, not a curated record. Lineage: Eukaryota; Viridiplantae; Streptophyta; Magnoliopsida; Fabales; Fabaceae.